UGCUCGUGGAAAAAAUUGAAA
RNAcentral lists this non-coding RNA (21 nucleotides) under Gossypium hirsutum (cotton). Lineage: Eukaryota; Viridiplantae; Streptophyta; Magnoliopsida; Malvales; Malvaceae. The record is from RNAcentral.